RNAcentral lists this ribosomal RNA (252 nucleotides) under uncultured Eubacteriales bacterium. RNAcentral's name for it is "partial 16S ribosomal RNA". It matches the Rfam family "Bacterial small subunit ribosomal RNA", at positions 524 to 776 of the family's 1533-position model. Lineage: Bacteria; Bacillati; Bacillota; Clostridia; Eubacteriales. The record is from RNAcentral.
UACGUAAGGGGCGAGCGUUGUCCGGAAUUAUUGGGCGUAAAGGGUUCGCAGGCGGCCUAUUAAGUCAGAUGUUAAAUCUCAUGGCCUAACCAUGAUAAGCAUUUGAAACUGAAAGGCUUGAGUUAAGGAGAGGAAAGUGGAAUUCCUAGUGUAGCGGUGAAAUGCGUAGAUAUUAGGAGGAAUACCAGUGGCGAAGGCGACUUUCUGGACUUAUACUGACGCUGAGGAACGAAAGCAUGGGUAGCAAACAGG